UUCAGCUUAAAUCUACUUGACUACCAAGUGCUAAACAUGUGUUAUUUGUUAAUAAUUAGAAUACUUAACAUUUAUUAAGCAUUUACUAUUUGCCAUGCAUUGAGCUAAGUAGAUUGCACUUUUUUAAAACAAUUAUUCCAUAAGAUAAAUAUAUUACCUGCAUUUUAUAAAUAAUGAUACUGAAAUUCAGAGAGCUUAAAUGAUAUGUACAAGGUCACAGUGCCCAAGUAUUCUCAUCCCCAGACCCAGUCUUAACCACUAUAUUGGUUAUAGCAGAAAACCCGCACAAAACAUACUUUUACAUCUCACUGUACAUUUUUAUUACAUACUACUGUCAAUUACUGGCUUUCAAGAACCUUGCCAGGAGAUCCCUGAGUUUUAUUUCAAAAUUUUACCAGAAAAUUAAGUAUCUCUCAUCGUUGCUUUUGGGGUCCACCCCACAAAAAAAGACCAUGAAUUAACAGAUGAGAAAGUAAGGUCCUGCGGAAGUCUCUCUCUCCUUUCCAAUUCCUUAACACUAGAACCACUUCAGGAUCUACUUGGUGCUGGCCACUGUGACAGGGGUGCAAAGGUGAGUAAGACUUAGUCCGUGAUAUCACAGUAUUCACAGUCUGAUGUGGAGGUAGUAGCCACAUAAUGUCAAUCUAAAGAAACCAAUGAUGCUACAUGUAAAUGAGGAAAAGACACUCAGCUUUGCCUAUAGAAUCUUGAGUGGUAGAAAAGAAUCACCCAGGAGGUUAAGAAAAGGAAGGGUACACCACAGAAAUAAUAUGUGCAACAUUGUACUUAGAGUCAAAAUCCAGGCAUUUCAGAGCAUUGACUAUUGAUUUCAAAGUCCUUAACAUGUACCCUUCAUCCCUCUCAAAAUGGUUUGGGAUCUUUCAAAUAUAACUCCACAGGUCUGCCCUGGAAUUUCAGAUUCCAGGCAUUGAGCCUAUGAUCAUACAUAUGCUUCCUACAUCAACACAUGGAAGUAUUCUUCUAUUUAUUUAUUAUUUUAAUGCAGUGAUUGAUCAUGGUGUUGAAGGGGAUCAUGAGUUUUUGAGGUUUUUAGUUCACCUUGUACAUACCCUGAGGGUCCACCUUCUGAAACCAAUGAAGAGCUCAUAAGCAUACCCUUUCAGAACUGGGACCUUCAAAAAGAGGCACAUAAAUUCCCCAAUUUCCUAUGAAAGACAUUAUUCAAGUGUCCUCAAGUGACAGAUGGUCUAAUAAUGUGCAAAAAUGUGCACUUACACUCUGAGGUCAGCUCUGUUUUACUUGAGUUUUUCACUCACACAAGUACCAUCUGGAGCCCACAUCCUCUAUCUUUAGCUUUAAAUAAAUCCUGAUUUACCUCAGAAAUAUUUGCCAAGAGUCUGCUUCCUAGAAAAAUGACCAGUUUCUCCUUUUUGAGGUAUGCUUUUGCAAUAUAUGACACCAAGCAGGCGCUUAGCAAAUGGCUGCUAUUAGGAUGCUCGUUAGGAUGCUACAAAGGAACGGAACCUAUUGGGAGCAAAGGUUGAGGAACUGCAGCUAAAACUCUUUUUUUUGUGUUUGCAUGUUUAUGUGGGUCAGUCUGGAAAGAUCACACUGUUUUCUUUCAGCUGGAGCAUCCUAAUCCAAAUUAAAGCUGCAUGUGUUACAUCAACAUUUUGACUCAAUACUGCUAAAGCUUCUUUGCCAAACAUCUUUUCAGCUCUCAGAAUUUGUAAGUAUGGGGUACAUUUUGAUCUGAUGAUGUAUGCGUAUAGAAGAAAGAAAGGAUGAAUGCUUGAAGACAGGCUCCAAAUCCUGAAGGGGUUAUGUGCUGCUGCCUUCCUUGAAGAGCCAGAGGCGCGCUUUUGUUGGGUCUACCCCACAACACAGUGGUGGCGUAUUUGUGACUGAUACCUUGCGUAAGGGAACUAUGGCCUUGAUACCCAUGCUUUCUCUCUGGGACAGAAUCAAGGUGCAUAAAGGAUAUCAUCAGCAAUUCCAAGGUGUUAUCCAAGCCAGUCCUGAGUCCACUGCACUCUGGAAAAUGCCUUAAGCAUUUAAGCUGAGCUACUGAGAAACGCAAGGAAGCUAAUCCAGCUACUCUUUUUGUGCCAGCCAUUCGGCCCCCAGGUGCUACGAGCGCUGGUCUGCCUGCCAGGACUGAAGUGGAAAUGGACCGCACCCGCGCUUUCGCAGUGACUUCCCCUGAGAACAGGAAAGCAUCCCUUCCCUCCUUGAAAUGGACCCGGAUGUAGAGUCAACUAGUUCUAAACUCUUUUUCAAGCUUGACUAAUAAUCUCUUAAGUCAAUUCUUGGUAGGAGGGGAGUCCUACAUAUAUAUAGAGAUUAUAUAUAUAUAUAUUUUUUUCACCCCCCGGAAAUAAGGAAAUGAGUAAUUCCAAAGUUUUGGCAUUUCCUUCCAAUGCCAGGAAGCCAUUUCCUUCCAAUGCCAGUAAGGAAACCUGGAAUUGUACCAUGUUUUUUACCUUUUGGGGAAACAAUUCUAAAGGCUUCUUUGUAAGUUAAUUUAGAAAAUCACCCAUGAUUCCAUUAUCUAACAAUGAUGUUUUUACCAUUUUUAUUUUUAAAAAUCUGGCCUUCUACAUAAAUAUUGAAAAAGUAAGAGUGGGAAAUCAUGUAUAAAAUUUUGCAGAAUGAACUUUCUUCCUAAAAGUAUUGUGGCCACUUCCAUAUAUUCUUAAUUUCUAAAUAUUUUCAAAACUUUGACACUCACUAUGCUGUUCCUUUAUCCCCAUGACUGAUAUAUUAUAUAAUUGGAAGCCUGCACUUCUUUAUCCUCUUUGUCCACUUCACCCACCCCAUAUUCAAAUGUCACCUAAUAACCCACAGAAUCCACUUUGAGAAACACUAUAUAAAAUCAAGCCAGGAAAUAUACCAUGGCAGUUCAUAGAGAAGGCUCCAGCAAGAAAGAUCUGAAUUUGAAUUCUGACUCUCCCCCUAACCAACUGAAUGAGCAGGGAUAUUAUGUAAAUACUUAAUGUCAUAACAUAUACUGAGCACCUGCUAUGUAACAGAUACUUGCUAAGGACCUUACAUGUAUUAAUUUCACUUAAUCCUACAACCUCAUAUAGCCAGUACCAUUAUAUGCAUACUUUGCAGAAGAGGAUACAAAGGCCAAAGAAUGUUUACUACUUGAAAUCACAAAACAAAUACAUGAACUUGAUCUGGCCUGUGUCUACUUCACAAGAUUGAGUUCCCCCAUUCUCCUCUGGUCAGAGAUCUGGCCCCCUGGUUUGUCCCCCUAAUGCCUGGAUACUUCCUCUUCCUUGCCUCAGUAUCACCUCCAACACCCCUCCUUCCUUUUUACCUUUUAUACGUUCCCUAAAUGUCACUUACUCCAGGAAGCCUUCUUAAUACCCUAUUCUGUACUUUGGCCACCUACCUUUUCAUUUAGAGCAUUUAUGGGGAUUAAUGCUCUUUGUGACUAUGAGUUCAGUGUAUAUCCCUGGCUGGUUCCAAGAUGCCCUCACAUCUGUAUCUCACCAUACAAUGUGAAUAACUGGACCAUUAGUGACACAUCAUUUUCAAUUAUUUAGCCAUCAAUACAGCCAGUUCCCCUGGCUUGCUUUUAAUAUACUUCCAUCAUGUCAAAGAGGAAGGAUAAGAGAUGAGUGAAAGUGCUAAGUUAAAUCAGAGGACUUUGGGUGAGGAACCUUGGGAGGAAGGGGUUGUGAAAGGCUUAUCCAUUCUGUAUUCCUCUUAGAACAGAGGCCUGAAUCUGAGCAUACCAUUUUUUGCCAAAAGAGUAUAUGCAUGGUUGUGGAGGGAGUACUACUGCAUUCACAUGACCUUUUUGGCAACAUGAAGCAUUAAGCCCACAAAACUGUUGCCAAACAAAAAUUUUAACAUGCCAGGUCCUGACCACAGAGCUUCUCAUACCCUGGGGCAUCUCAGGGAGGACCAGGGUAAGUGGUAUGUUGUUCUAAGGCUCACCAAUUCCACACACUUCUUCAUAUAAGUGGGAGCCAUUGCCUCAGUCUCCAUGGUCAAAUAAAUAAAGGAAAUGCUGCAGCAAACUUUGUCUUGAAAACUUACAGUGCACAUUAAAGCAUUAGAGAAGCUAAGAGGUCCUUCAGAGAAAAAAAAUCUAUUUAAGUUUACACAGUUCCUAAAUUUAUUUAGCCAUGUUUAGCCAUAGAAUGCUGGCUUGGAUUAAGUUGUGCCAGAAGCAGAAUCUGAGAUAAGGAUUUAAACACAAGCAGUUUUAUUUGGGAGGUGAAUUUAUAGAAAACAUCAGGAGGGGAGACAGGAAGCAAGGUUGGAAAGGGAAGGAGGCCAACCCAGGGUGCAUUAAUGAGCAGGUUUACUUCUGUGGGCACCUGGGAUUCACCCAUGCUGGGGACUAAUGAUGGGAAGAGCAUGCCUCAGAGGUGACCCAUCUUAGGGGUGAGGGAGCUGGAUAUUUACCCACCAACUCUCACCAGUCACAAAUUGAGGGCUGUUUCCAGGGUCACUAACCCUGGAACCUGCAGCCUGCCCUGCACUGCACCUGGAGAAUGCCGUCAGGCAGAACACCAGGUGUUUGCAAUGGAGCACUCAUGUUGUCAUGUAUGGUAACUAUGAGUGCUGAGGGAUAAUGCAUGGGACCUUACAAUGUCUGCCACAAAGAGUCCGCCCUCUACUUUUUUAUUUUUCAUGCAGGACACCCAUUCACACCUGGUGGAACUAGUAUUUGAGGACAAAAUUGAUAAAACAGAAUUCUAAAAUUUGGAAAUUAAGCAGUUCAAUGAAUUCCAAGAAGGUACCAUUUAGCCGAACACAUGAAGCCAAUGUUAUGCUAUAGCUGAUAAAACUCCAAAGAGAAUUCCUAUAAACGACACCAAAUACCAGUCAUAUAAAUCUCAAGGCUCAGCAAAAAAUAGCCUUGGAAAGUCCUAACUUACGGGAUGCUACAUCAUAGAGCCCUCUAAGGAUCCGAACUUGGAAUCAGGUUCUAACUUGGCUUGUCUGCAAAAGGGGAAAGCGAACUUUCCCACAGCCAAGGGCCCGGGGCAUGGCACACUAACUGCAUCCUGUAUGAGGUGGUGUCAGGCUGUAUCCCCAGUAGCCUCGGGUUGUCCACAUACAGAGAUGUAGUCAUGGCAAAGACAUGGAGCUCUGAGGACCCCAUUCUCACGAAAUGUCUUACGUUCAGGCCAAGUCAGACAAUACAAUACAAUAUUAACAAAUCAACAGAGAAAAUAAUUGUAGAUGGUGGUAAGGGUUAUGGAGACAUUCAAGAGGAUAAUGGGAGAAAGGGCAGCUGGGGAGAAUUACUUUAGGUUGAGUGAUCUGGAAUGACUUCUUUGAGGAGAGAAAUAUGAGCUGACACCUCCGUGUUUCAUCAGAAUAGAAAGCAUUGCAGGAGGAGGAAACGCCAAGUGCAAAACUCUUGAGAUGGGAAUGAGACUGGAGGAUUCCAGGACCCCAAAAAGGGCUUGGAGUAGUACUAGGAAUGAGGGGUGGAGUGUGAUUAGAAAAGGCUGACAAGGAAGGCUGCAAGUGGAACUUGUUGGAAAAUUUCGUUUAUUUUCUCCUCUAUUUAUCAUUCUUAAGAAAAUAGUCUCAAAAAGCAUCAGAGAACAUUUGCUGAAUACCUAGUGAUACUCCCAUGUUCCUACAUAUCUGGGAAACUUAAGGGAAUUCAUCGAGCUGUCUCCAGGCAGCCAUCCUUAUGGUCUCAUCCCUUUCUGCAGCAUCUCCCACCAAAAUCUCAAGUUGCCUCAUAAAUUAAAAGCAGUCCCUAAAAGCUGAAAUGUUAACCUGCUCUGCAAGGCCUUGGGCCCCAGUCCCAAAAAGCAGUGAUGUAAAGAAACAGGGCACAGAGUCACUAGGACCCACUUCUCGGUGGCAGGAAGUUGGCUGAGCCCACACCAUCUGAUCGCAACCAGCCUCAGCCCCUGGCACGCCCCAGGCGGCCCCCUUCCGGACUCGGCCUUCAGCAGCUCUACAAGAAGGUUCCCUGGUGGAGCAGCCUCAAGGCUCGCCCAAGGCCUGGCCCCUGGGAGCGGUAGCGGAGGGUCUGUCUCAGGAGGGCACUUAGUCUUGUAUUGCAAGGGAAGGCUGAUUCUUCACUCUCUGCCAAGCUCAGGAUCAGAAGAAGAGGGGAAACAGAGGCCAUAUCUUGACCUCAGGGGUCCAGGACACCACAGCAGAGGGCUCUGCCAUUGAGCACAUUAUCUGGGGGCCUAGGAAAACCUAAAUUCUAUUUCACAAGCAGUUAUUAGGCACCUGAUAUAUGCCGAGGAGUGUGAAAUUAAUGUCAGAAGAGACAUGCAGAGAAGUUCAGAAGAGCGGGGACUGGGAAAUUCAUCACCUCACUGGUUUCUCUGGUUUGAUGGUGGUUCAUCAGGCCGAUCUGGUACAUGCAGGACCCUUGUUAUUGUUACUCAUGAAAACAUUUUUUUUAGGCUGAGGAAGAGACAACAGAGCAUUACCGUCAAGAGACAUGGGGAAAUGAGCAGGACAGGAAAACAGCUCAGGGGAGCUGAAACAAUGGCCCGCUGUCCCCCAGGAAGAGCAGCUCUGAGGACUGGGUAUUUGGUUGUCUCUCAGCAGUUUCUUUUCUAUCCUCACUACCUUUGCCUGUUUCUUCUGCUUUUCCCAAUACCUCUGGGUCCUUCCCCAGGACCUUGUUUUUGUUUGAAGCUUCUGAUGGUGAAGAACCGAGAAGAAAGCAGGUUCCAGCUUUGUGGAAAGUGAAAGAUCCCAAAUGACAGUUUGGAUGGCAUCUGGAACCAGUGGUGCUGACAAUGUAACCUCCAUAUAUGGGCUACAAAGUUGUAGAGCCAGCAAAAAGAGAAAAAGCUUGAAAGAUAUGGACCCAGAGCUGUUAACCAUUGGGAGAGAUUCUGUAUACAGACAUGCAAGUUGUUUUCCAGAUAUGCAAAGCAUCAAGGUUUGUGUUGGUAACAAGUCCUGAUCCCAGCGCCAGUCAAAUCAUACACAUGAUGGAGUCAAAUACCUGGGAUGACUUCUGGAUUUUGUUACUGGCCUUCAUGCUGUCUGUGAUUCAGGGGAAGCUGGCAACUGGAGGGCCAAAUAAAGAAGGGUAACAGCUUCCCUCCCAACUUCCCGCCACAGAAGGGUUAGCCCCAUGUGGGUGAUGAAUUGCGCCAAAGAGUCUGAUAGUCCCAAAGAGGAAUGAAAUCCUAGAAGCAGCUCUUCCUGGAUGUCUACAGCUGUAGGCAUUGUUCUCCUUUCCACAUUUAUAAGAGGAUUCAAGAGUUUAAUGACAAACUUUUAUGGAGACUGAGGAGGCAAAAGGGAUCCAGUGUGACAGUAAGAAAAUCUCCAAGCAACAUUCAGUCACAGCCACAACCAGGACAUCACAGAGGUUCACUUGGCACAGACAGAAAAAAGUAAAGGAAACUGCUCAAGAUUUCUUUGAUGUGCUCUGGAAAACUGGCCAACUGGAAGAGAACUUCAGAGUCCCUGCAGGAUUUCUUUAGCAGUAUAUCCUCAUGGUCCACUUGAAUGGACUGGCCAUGACAGGCAGGUUGGAAUCCCCAAGACAUUCCAUCCCACAGUUCAAUAGCACUAAUAUGUUCUUAAAAAAUCUUCCCUAUGUAUUUAUUUAUUCCCUAUAAAGAUAUGUAUCAGGCUCACACCAUAAACCUGUUGGAAAUAAGGCUAUCAUAGCCAACAGGAUCCCAUCCCUUAGUGGAGGCCACAGUCCAGCAGGAAGGCAGACAUCAAACUAGUAAUUAACAGGAAUGCAUGAUGAACACAUCAAGAGGAAGUAACCAGGGCUAUGGACUUAACCUAGGGGUCAGGAAGGCCACCCUCCCUGAGGAAGUGAAUCCAAGAAACCUCCUGAAGGAUGCUGAGUGAAGAUGGGGCUGGGGAAGGCAACAAGAUGUAUGCAUUGUUGAUCAUUAGUGAUCAAAAUGUAGGCCCUUGCUUUCGCUUUCAUAUUUUGGUACAAGUUUCACCUUGAGUUUUGAAUAGACUAAGACCACUUUCUCCUCACAGAAGACUAUUAAUAAUAUUCUGUUUUCUACUGUGUUUAUUUAUUUCUGUUUCUUUAGAACACAAAUAAAUUAAAAAUAAGAGCUACUCUUUGCUGAACACUCACCUAGUGCCAUGCCCACUGAAUUCUCUCACAAAAGUUUUUUGCUUUAUCCACAUUUGAGGGAAACAGGUUCAGAAGGUUACCCAGCCAGGCAAAGAUGAGCUAGGAUUCAAAGGCAGAUACGAGAUGUUCAAAUCUAAGAUGUUAACCACUUUACUGGGGUUUCUCCAUGUCCAGAUCUACAAACUAUUUCAUCAAAAUGAUGGGGGUGCUGUUGGGGUGGGUGUUUGUUAAAAAAACAGAUUCCAAGGGCUCACCCAGCUGUUUUGCAUCUGCAUCUCUGAGGAUGUGGUCUGAAUCUGCACGUUAGCAAUUUCUCCACGUGUUCCCUUGAGUUUGAGAAUCACUGAACUUCUUCCCAGUUCUGUGCACUUGUGAGACAGAAGGGCGCUCAGGGAGAGAGAGGGAGAGAAAGGAGAGAGACUACUGAUGAAAUUUAUUUUACUCCUGUCUAUGUUCUUAGAAUGCUCUUUUGGCCUUUUGAUGAAAUGCUGCCAUGCAGACUGGUUAUGAUUUUCGAACUGCAAAUAACUGAGCUUCAUGCUCUUGGCUAGAUGUCCAGGCAGGGCUCAGAGAGCUGCUUAUUCAGGCUUCAGCCAAGCUGUGAAAAGUGAGGCUUUUUCAGAGGAAGUGAGAUAAGACAAAAACUUAGAAAAACAAACAUCCUGAGGCCAGUGUUCAAAAGGCCACUAGCAAAAUCUAUAGUCUAAUGUGGAGUGAGCUAAACAAACACAUUACUGGGCCAUCCAGGAAACGCAAAGCAGAUGCCUGGAGGUGGGGGGUGUGUUUUCAACCUGGGUAGAAAUAUCCUGGGGAGUGAUGAUAUAGAAUCAGACACAAAGUUCAGAUAAAAACAACAUGAGAGACUUGCAAAAGGUGGUGUAGCCAGGAUGGACAGGAGGUACUCCUGUGAAGUGGUUCAGAGCAAGUUCAGGGUAGGGAGACCAGGGCUCCAAUCUUAUUUAUAAAUUGUAUGCCCUAAAGUUUUUUCCUGUCAUGGGAUUACCUGAUGACAACUAGUUAAUGAAGCAAUGCUGGUGGAGACCCUGUGCCCAGGGCCAAGCUUAAGAGCUUUUUGAUACUGAAAAGAUGACGAGGGUGUUGCUACCCUGCUCCUAUUACGUACUUUAAAAUGAAAACAAGGUCAAUUCAAAAUAUGAACAGAAGUAGGUCAGCAAUAUUCCAAGUUUUCCUCUGACACUAAUUCAGUGUGUUUUUGGAGAUGUAAAAUAUUCUUCUCUGGCAAAAAAAAAAGGGUUUGUGUGCUUCUCUGAUGCCCCAUAUACACAAGCUUAAUGGGGUGAAAGUGUUUCAUAAAAUGCUAGUCAAACUCCCUGACACAAAGAAGGUACUCACUUAGUACUAGUUAUUAUUAUUUUUAAUAAUCAUGACAUAUGUUCCCAAUUACAUUUAAUGCAACCCCUUAAAGAAACACUAAGGCUCUACCUUCUGUAGAUGUGUUUCUGCUAGUAGUAUUCUACUAUUUGGCAUUGUUUGAACCUGGCUCUGCAGAAAUGAGGUAGUCGC
Molecule: long non-coding RNA, 9559 nt
Organism: Manis javanica (Malayan pangolin)
Lineage: Eukaryota; Metazoa; Chordata; Mammalia; Pholidota; Manidae
Source: RefSeq, a predicted model, not a curated record